GAUGAACGCUAGCUACAGGCUUAACACAUGCAAGUCGAGGGGUAACGAGAGGAAAGCUUGCUUUCCUUGUCGACGACCGGCGCACGGGUGAGUAACGCGUAUCCAACCUGCCCCCAACUAGGGAAUAACCUUGCGAAAGUAAGACUAAUACCCUAUAAUUUCCUCAGAUGUCAUCUGACGAGGAAUAAAGAUUUAUCGGUUGUGGAUGGGGAUGCGUCUGAUUAGCUUGUUGGCGGGGUAACGGCCCACCAAGGCAACGAUCAGUAGGGGUUCUAGGAGGAAGGUCCCCCACAUUGGGACUGAGACACAGGCCAAACUCCUACGGGAGGCAGCAGUGAGGAAUAUUGGUCAAUGGGCGGAAGCCUGAACCAGCCAAGUAGCGUGCAGGAUGACGGCCCUAUGGGUUGUAAACUGCUUUUAUACAGGAAUAAAGUUAGCCACGUGUGGUUAUUUGUAGGUACUGUAUGAAUAAGGACCGGCUAAUUCCGUGCCAGCAGCCGCCGUAA
RNAcentral lists this ribosomal RNA (506 nucleotides) under uncultured bacterium. RNAcentral describes it as "partial 16S ribosomal RNA". It matches the Rfam family "Bacterial small subunit ribosomal RNA", at positions 28 to 523 of the family's 1533-position model. The record is from RNAcentral.